GGGAAUUCAUAAUGAAGACCUACCUAAAGGGUUUAUCCCAUGAUUGAUGUAAAAAUUAAAUCGGGCAUCAUAUAGAACAUGCCACUCUCUUCAUAACAAAGCUAGAACCAGCCCUGUACCUCACAUGGAUCCAGAGAUCUCUACAUU
This is a long non-coding RNA of Bufo bufo (common toad), 147 nucleotides long. RefSeq lists it as uncharacterized. The transcript has 3 exons. The record is from RefSeq and is a predicted model, not a curated record. Lineage: Eukaryota; Metazoa; Chordata; Amphibia; Anura; Bufonidae.